AAACCAAAAGAUAUGAAAAUCGUGUAGGAAACAUAUAGAUGAUGAUGAGAUAAUUACAACUUGAAUAUCUAAGCAUAUUAUGUAGAAAUAUAAUUGGGGGAAAGAGAUAAUACUCGGACAAAAUUAUCAGUCAUAUGAAUGGAUUCGGGAGGGGGAGAUGAGGAUUGAGGUUCGGAAAGGGCGGCGGAAGAUGAAUUUAUGCUGCUGGAUCUUAGAAGUCUGUAAUUCUGACGAAUUCGAGCUGCGAAAUAUGGAGUAAGACGCUGUAUUAAAGAUCUCGAAGAAGAAGAAGACAUUAUUAUAAUUACGGUGAUAAUAGCUUCCCCUCUAUUGCUGUUUCAUUUGCAAAUUAAGAAAAAACACUCUGUUUUGAUUUUGAUGGAUUCGAAUCGAGGUGUA
This 399-nucleotide long non-coding RNA is filed under the name Panax ginseng (ginseng). RNAcentral describes it as "long non-coding RNA (PGIN_LNC007940)". The record is from RNAcentral. Lineage: Eukaryota; Viridiplantae; Streptophyta; Magnoliopsida; Apiales; Araliaceae.